Etheostoma cragini (Arkansas darter) is the source of this 497-nucleotide long non-coding RNA. RefSeq lists it as uncharacterized. The transcript has 2 exons. The record is from RefSeq and is a predicted model, not a curated record. Lineage: Eukaryota; Metazoa; Chordata; Actinopteri; Perciformes; Percidae.
AGAGAGCUGGAUCUGAGAGGAAACGCGCUGCAGGAUUCAGGAGUUAAGCUGCUUCGUGAUCUGAAGAAUAGUUUGCACUGUAAACUGGAGACUCUGAGAUGGAAGUUUACUCACUAACUGGGAUCAGAAAGGUGGAUGUUUUGAGAGGUUAAGGGGUGUCCUGAUGAUCCAGAGACGCUAAGCAGCCUUAGCUCUGACUGGGUCAUGUUACUGGGAUGACUUUUAUUGCUGAGAACUGCUCUGAGAUCAGCUCCAUGGUCCACCAUCAACAUCAUCAUCAUCAUCAUCAUCAUUGUCAUCAUCCCUGUGUGUUCUUCUAGAUCUGUGUCAUCACUGUAUCUGGACUGCUCUGCUGCAGCUUUUUCCUUCCACACAAUCUCAGCAGACACACUAAGACUCUUCCAUUCCUUUUGCUCCACACUUAUUCAAAUCCUCCACCUGGACAAGAAGACAAAACCUGUAGAAAGUGUAGAUUUAAAUAUAGUUCACUGAAGUCU